Non-coding RNA from Triticum aestivum (bread wheat), 135 nucleotides. NCBI's taxonomy places the organism in Eukaryota, Viridiplantae, Streptophyta, Magnoliopsida, Poales, Poaceae. The record is from Rfam.
AACCUACUCCAUCCGUCCGGAAAUAUUUAUCAUCAAAAUGGAUAGAAAAAGAUGUAUCUAGAACUAAAAUACAUCUAAAUACAUCCUUUUUUAUCUAUUUUGAUGACAAGUAUUUUCGGACGGAGGGAGUAGAUU